Molecule: ribosomal RNA, 286 nt
Filed under: uncultured cyanobacterium
Lineage: Bacteria; Bacillati; Cyanobacteriota
Description: partial 16S ribosomal RNA
Rfam family: Bacterial small subunit ribosomal RNA
Source: RNAcentral
AGUCGAACGAACCUUCGGGUUACUGGCGGACGGGUGAGUAACGCGUGGGAAUCUGCCCUCAGGAGGGGGAUAACGGCUGGCAACGGCCGCUAAUACCCCAUAUGCCGAGAGGUGAAAUGAAUUUCGCCUGAGGAUGAGGCCGCGUCUGAUUAGGUAGUUGGUGAGGUAAGAGCUCACCAAGGCAUCGAUCAGUAGCUGGUCUGAGAGGAUGAUCAGCCACACUGGGACUGAGACACGGCCCAGACUCCUACGGGAGGCACCAGUGGGGAAUUUUCCGCAAUGGGCG